RNAcentral lists this ribosomal RNA (492 nucleotides) under uncultured bacterium. RNAcentral's name for it is "partial 16S ribosomal RNA". It matches the Rfam family "Bacterial small subunit ribosomal RNA", at positions 29 to 507 of the family's 1533-position model. The record is from RNAcentral.
AGUGAACGCUGGCGGUAGGCCUAACACAUGCAAGUCGAACGGCAGCACAGUAAGAGCUUGCUCUUACGGGUGGCGAGUGGCGGACGGGUGAGGAAUACAUCGGAAUCUACUUUUUCGUGGGGGAUAACGUAGGGAAACUUACGCUGAUACCGCAUACGACCUACGGGUGAAAGCAGGGGAUCUUCGGACCUUGCGCGAUUGAAUGAGCCGAUGUCGGAUUAGCUAGUUGGCGGGGUAAAGGCCCACCAAGGCGACGAUCCGUAGCUGGUCUGAGAGGAUGAGCAGCCACACUGGAACUGAGACACGGUCCAGACUCCUACGGGAGGCAGCAGUGGGGAAUAUUGGACAAUGGGCGCAAGCCUGAUCCAGCCAUACCGCGUGGGUGAAGAAGGCCUUCGGGUUGUAAAGCCCUUUUGUUGGGAAAGAAAAGCAGCAGGUUAAUACCCCGCUGUUCUGACGGUACCCAAAGAAUAAGCACCGGCUAACUUCGUG